CUCGUUGAUGAUCGGUGCUUGCACCGAGAUUCAACAUGGAACGAGUGGCGGACGGGUGAGUAACACGUGGGUAACCUGCCCUUAAGUGGGGGAUAACAUUUGGAAACAGAUGCUAAUACCGCAUAGAUCCAAGAACCGCAUGGUUCUUGGCUGAAAGAUGGCGUAAGCUAUCGCUUUUGGAUGGACCCGCGGCGUAUUAGCUAGUUGGUGAGGUAAUGGCUCACCAAGGCGAUGAUACGUAGCCGAACUGAGAGGUUGAUCGGCCACAUUGGGACUGAGACACGGCCCAAACUCCUACGGGAGGCAGCAGUAGGGAAUCUUCCACAAUGGACGCAAGUCUGAUGGAGCAACGCCGCGUGAGUGAAGAAGGCUUUCGGGUCGUAAAACUCUGUUGUUGGAGAAGAAUGGUCGGCAGAGUAACUGUUGUCGGCGUGACGGUAUCCAACCAGAAAGCCACGGCUAACUACGUGCCAGCAGCCGCGGUAAUACGUAGGUGGCAAGCGUUAUCCGGAUUUAUUGGGCGUAAAGCGAGCGCAGGCGGUUUUUUAAGUCUGAUGUGAAAGCCCUCGGCUUAACCGAGGAAGCGCAUCGGAAACUGGGAAACUUGAGUGCAGAAGAGGACAGUGGAACUCCAUGUGUAGCGGUGAAAUGCGUAGAUAUAUGGAAGAACACCAGUGGCGAAGGCGGCUGUCUGGUCUGUAACUGACGCUGAGGCUCGAAAGCAUGGGUAGCGAACAGGAUUAGAUACCCUGG
This 753-nucleotide ribosomal RNA is filed under the name Lactobacillus casei group sp. RNAcentral describes it as "bacterial SSU rRNA". It matches the Rfam family "Bacterial small subunit ribosomal RNA", at positions 63 to 790 of the family's 1533-position model. Lineage: Bacteria; Bacillati; Bacillota; Bacilli; Lactobacillales; Lactobacillaceae. The record is from RNAcentral.